Molecule: ribosomal RNA, 497 nt
Filed under: uncultured bacterium
Lineage: Bacteria
Description: partial 16S ribosomal RNA
Rfam family: Bacterial small subunit ribosomal RNA
Source: RNAcentral
GAUGAACGCUGGCGGCGUGCCUAAUACAUGCCAGUCGAGCGAACAGACGAGGAGCUUGCUCCUCUGACGUUAGCGGCGGACGGGUGAGUAACACGUGGAUAACCUACCUAUAAUACUGGGAUAACUUCGGGAAACCGGAGCUAAUACCGGAUAAUAUAUUGAACCGCAUGGUUCAAUAGUGAAAGACGGUUUUGCUGUCACUUAUAGAUGGAUCCGCGCCGCAUUAGCUAGUUGGUAAGGUAACGGCUUACCAAGGCAACGAUGCGUAGCCGACCUGAGAGGGUGAUCGGCCACACUGGAACUGAGACACGGUCCAGACUCCUACGGGAGGCAGCAGUAGGGAAUCUUCCGCAAUGGGCGAAAGCCUGACGGAGCAACGCCGCGUGAGUGAUGAAGGUCUUCGGAUCGUAAAACUCUGUUAUUAGGGAAGAACAAAUGUGUAAGUAACUAUGCACGUCUUGACGGUACCUAAUCAGAAAGCAACGGCUAACUACGUG